Molecule: long non-coding RNA, 609 nt
Organism: Osmerus eperlanus (European smelt)
Lineage: Eukaryota; Metazoa; Chordata; Actinopteri; Osmeriformes; Osmeridae
Exons: 4
Source: RefSeq, a predicted model, not a curated record
GAAAAAAAAAAUCCACUAUUCCUUGUAAAUUCCCGCUGUCAAAUUGAACCAUAUGAAUUUGAUGGAAGGUAACUGUUACGUGUGAUUGAUGCUUUCGUACAUCCCCAUUACAACUCUAGGUCCUCCAGCGCUCUGGACCUUCUUAUCAUAGCAGAGGCUAACAGUCCUCUUCAGUACCCUACUCAGGGACUGGAGGUACGACCCCUCAAGACUAUCAUCAUCCCUGGGCUGGGUCUGAAGGAACUGCCUAAAGACAUAUACAUGGUGAAUUUGACUGCCACCAUGGGUACGUUUGAUGUGGCUGCCACAGUGGAUGCAGUUUUCAUCACAGGGGCGGGGCAAAUGCACAUAAGCAUGUCCAGUAGACAUCUUCCGAAUUUGAACCGACAGCUUCAGUUUGUCACCUACACAAACACUGUGUUCCACCCCAGGACAGCAGACAUACUUCAGAUGGAAACCCAUGGACACCACUCAGUCUUUACAAUCACUGUUGGACAUGUCAUCACCCCAAAACUCGUGAAACCAGCCUUCAAAGAAGAAGGUGUGUUAUACAGUUGUUUGUCUGAAAUUAAACAGGGUCAAAAUAAAUGUUUCGUUUUUAGAGUGGAA